RNAcentral lists this ribosomal RNA (253 nucleotides) under uncultured bacterium. RNAcentral's name for it is "partial 16S ribosomal RNA". It matches the Rfam family "Bacterial small subunit ribosomal RNA", at positions 524 to 776 of the family's 1533-position model. The record is from RNAcentral.
UACGUAGGGGGCUAGCGUUGUCCGGAAUCAUUGGGCGUAAAGAGCGUGUAGGCGGCCCGGUAAGUCCGCUCUGAAAGCCCGGGGCUCAACCCCGGGAGGCGGGCGGAUACUGUCGGGCUAGAGUCCGGAAGAGGCGAGUGGAAUUCCUGGUGUAGCGGUGAAAUGCGCAGAUAUCAGGAGGAACACCAAUAGCGAAGGCAGCUCGCUGGGACGGUACUGACGCUGAGACGCGAAAGCGUGGGGAGCAAACAGG